GACGAACGCUGGCGGCGUGCUUAACACAUGCAAGUCGAACGGAAAGGCCCUGCUUUUGUGGGGUGCUCGAGUGGCGAACGGGUGAGUAACACGUGAGUAACCUGCCCUUGACUUUGGGGUAACUUCAGGAAACUGGGGCUAAUACCGGAUAGGAGCUCCUGCUGCAUGGUGGGGGUUGGAAAGUUUCGGCGGUUGGGGAUGGACUCGCGGCUUAUCAGCUUGUUGGUGGGGUAGUGGCUUACCAAGGCUUUGACGGGUAGCCGGCCUGGGAGGGUGACCGGGCACAUGGGGACUGAGAUACGGACCAGACUCCUACGGGAGGCAGCAGUGGGGAACAUGGCAGAAUGGGCGGAAGCCUGAGGCAGCAACGCCGCGUGCGGGAUGACGGCCUUCGGGGUGUAAACCGCUUUCGCCUGUGACGAAGCGUGAGUGACGGUAAUGGGUAAAGAAGCACCGGCUAACUACGUG
Molecule: ribosomal RNA, 468 nt
Filed under: uncultured bacterium
Lineage: Bacteria
Description: partial 16S ribosomal RNA
Rfam family: Bacterial small subunit ribosomal RNA
Source: RNAcentral